RNAcentral lists this long non-coding RNA (891 nucleotides) under Nicotiana benthamiana. RNAcentral describes it as "long non-coding RNA (NBEN_LNC017497)". The record is from RNAcentral. Lineage: Eukaryota; Viridiplantae; Streptophyta; Magnoliopsida; Solanales; Solanaceae.
CCUAUUCUUCAAAGGGACAAGUUAAAGCCUAGAGCCUUCUCUUGUGUUUUUCUGGGUUACCUCUUUUCCAAAAAGGGUUAUAAACUGUAUGAUUUGGUUUCCAAGAAGUGUUUUGUCUCCAGGGAUGUUGUAUUCCAUGAAACUUGUUUUCCUUUUAAGAAUAAUCCUUCUUUUGCUCACCCUUCUCCUUCAUCUUUUCCUUCUAUUACUCCUGCUGAACAUUCCCCUGACACUGAUUUUCCUAUACAUGUUUCCUCCCCUCCUUCCCCUCCAUCUGAUUCUCUUGUUCCUGACUUUACUGAUGCUGCUCCAUCUUCCCUUCCUAUUUCCUCCAAUUGUAAAUAAUUCCAUUUGUAAUAAUGUUGUUACCGCUAAUAUGAAUUACAUUUGGCAUUUAAGACUAGCACAUACUUCUUUUGCAAAUAUGAGACAUAGGUUACCCCUUUUCCAAAAAGGGUUAUAAACUGUAUGAUUUGGUUUCCAAGAAGUGUUUUGUCUCCAGGGAUGUUGUAUUCCAUGAAACUUGUUUUCCUUUUAAGAAUAAUCCUUCUUUUGCUCACACUUCUCCUUCAUCUUUUCCUUCUAUUCCUCAUGCUGAACAUUCCCCUGACACUGAUUUUCCUAUACAUGCUUCCUCCCUCCUUCCCCUCCAUCUGAUUCUCCUGUUCCUGACUUUACUGAUGCUGCUCCAUCUUCCCUUCCUUCUUUCAGUCCUGAUAUUUCUCCCCCUGUUUUACCUCCUUCACACCCUAUUGUGCCACAUCGGAGGGAUUUGAGGUCCUUCGUCUCCUUACAUGGCUUGGGCAAUCCUCACCUUAUAAGCUAGCUUUUGGGGUUGAGUUAGGCCCAAUAUCCAUUCUUAUCAUGGUAUCAGAGCCAGGCCCGUCCCAA